This 431-nucleotide ribosomal RNA is filed under the name uncultured bacterium. Its description in RNAcentral is "partial 16S ribosomal RNA". It matches the Rfam family "Bacterial small subunit ribosomal RNA", at positions 29 to 507 of the family's 1533-position model. The record is from RNAcentral.
AGCGAACGCUGGCGGCAGGCUUAACACAUGCAAGUCGAGCGCCCCGCAAGGGGUUCGUCAGACGGGAGAGUAACACGUGGGAACAUACCUGUUAGUUCGGAACACCUAAGUGAAACUUAAGCUAAUACCGGAUAAGCCCUUACGGGGAAAGAUUUAUCGCCGAAAGAUUGGCCCUCGUCUGAUUAGCUAGUUGGUGAGGUAACGGCUCGCCAACGCGACGAUCAGUAGCUGAUCUGAUACGAUGAUCAGCUGCACUGGGAAUAAGACACGGCCCAGACUCGUACGGGAGGGAGCAGUGGAGUACAUUAGAGGAGGGGGCCUAACGUGAUCAAGCCACGUGGGGGGAGACGGGAAGGCCGUAGGAUAGCAAAUCUAGUUGGGAAGAGGAGAAAAUGACGGUACCGGGAGAAGAAGCCCCGGCUAACUUCGUG